UACUAUAUUAAGCGGCACUCCCAUGGCGUAAUCUCUGUGCUUUCCAUCCUUCCGAGGUCGCUAACCCUAGGUACAGACACGUAGACAUGGGGGGCAAAGGUAGGAACCGUAAUACGAAACACGAACCAAUGGGCAAGAAAAACAAGAAGAAGGCGCCCCCCGCCGCCGCCGCCGCCGCCGCCGCCGGCACUGCUGGUGCAGCGUCGUCCAAGGCCGACGAACCAAAGGUGGAGUCUGAAGCGGCGGCCAGCGGAGAUGGGAUCCCGCCGCCGACCAACGGCGACCAGCAGCCAAGGCCGACUUCACCUCAGGCGCCCAAAGGCGACCAGUUGCCGCCGGAUUCCGCGGCGGCGCCCAACGGAAAAGAGGUCCCGCCGCAACCUCCUUCGGUUCAGGCGGCCGGUGGCGGCGACCCGAUCGUCGAUUCUGGAGCGGCGGGCGGCGGAGAUGGGAUUCCGCCGCCAAUGCCCACUUCCGUUGAUCCGGCCAACGGGGACGGGGAUGCGCCUCCAUCGCUUGAGCCGGCCAAUGACGACGAGUUGCCGCUGGGUUCUGCGGGAGCGGCCAACGAGGACGGACCGCUGCCGCCGCCUCCGUUUCCGGUCGAGCCGCCCGCGCCCAUCAACGGCAACACGCCGGUCGAUUCUGCGGCGGAGGCCAAGGGAGACGUGAUUCCGCCGCCUAUGGAUUCUCCGGCGGUUCAAAAGGCGGACAAUGUCGGCGAGCUCAAGGCGGAGAGGGGCCUGAACGACAAGGCGCCGGAGGUGAUGCCGGACUCGUCGUCGCAACCUGACCGUCAGGCGGAGAAACUCAAGGCGCUCAACAGCAAGCUCGUCAAGGAGGCGGUGGAGACGCGGGGCCAGGUGGCCGCGCUCGCCGCGCAGGUCGACGAGCGCUCCGCCGACGCCGCCGCUCUUGCCGACCUGGAACAACAUGUUCUCCAGGCCGGCCUUAUUUUCCCCUUCGUCGCCGCCGGAGAAUACUGCACGGCGCUGCGCGGUCACCUCGUCGACGCCCAGGAACCGCUUCAGGCCGCGAAAUCCAGGGCUGCUCGCGAGGCGGAUGCCAAGGAGGAUGCCGCGGCGCGCCUCGAGGUGGCCGAAGCGGAGAAUCUUCGAUUCGUGGAGCUCCUCGGGAGGAAGGAUGCAGAGGCGGCAUCCGCGUCCAAGAAUGUCGCGGGAAUGGAGGCCGUAGUUUCUGAAUUGGCGGGUAAUAGUACUGAGCUCUGUGCACGGAAAGGCGAUUUCGAGAAGCAAUUGGGGGAGAUGAGCGCCUCUGCUCGCAGCGUCCUUGCUGAGAAGGCAGAGUUGGAGACAAGCUUGGACGAUUACAAGAUGAAAGCUAAGAUGUAUCAGCAGGAAAUCCAGGAGAAGCUUGAUGACAAAUCAAAGCAAUUGGAGGCUCUGAGUUCCAGCAAGGCAGAAAUGGAGGACAAGUUCCAGUCUCUGGAGGCAGAGCUCUCUGCAGCCCUGGCUAAGAACUGGGAACUGGAGUCGGAGGUGAAGACCAGCAUGACAGAGUUAGCUGAAGCAAACAGAAAUCUGGAGAAGCUCCGAUUUGAGGUUGCAGAUGUCGGUAAAAAGUACACCACAAUGAUGGCUGAGGCGGAUCGUCUUCGGAAGGAGAUGGCCAAGAUGAUGGCGACAAAGGAUGCGGCUGCGGCUGCAUUUGCUACUGAGAAGACGCAGCUGCACAAGGAAUUAGAUGGACUGAAGAGGAAGGUUGAGUCGAUUAGAGCCAACAAGGAUGCUGCCAUGACUUCUUGCCGUCAGAAAGAUGCCGAGGCUGCAAAGCUGAAAUCCCAGCUGAAUGGGCUGAGUGACUCCCUUGCUGAACAACGUGUUCUCUGUGAUGAUCUCAGGGCCAAGUCCUCUAGACUCCAAGAUGAGCUGGACACGGUUAAGAAAGCACUUGGCGAGGAGAGAGCCCAAGGAGAUGAGCUCAGGUCGACGCUUGGGGAGCUCGAGAGCAACAGUGACGACAAGGCGCGCCAGGUUGAGGAGCUGAAGACCGAAGUUCAGAAUAAGCGUGGACAGAUCUAUGCCUUGAAUGGAGAGGUUAAGAAGCUGCAGCUAGCAGUCGCUGAUGCAGAGGAGAGGGGGAAGAGCGGCAAGGUGUGGACAUGGCUGUGCCCUACCACGACUGUCAUCGCCGCCGCGUCCUUUGCCUACGCUGCUCGUAGAGGGUGAACAGAAAACUCUUUUACCCAUGUUUUGUUCGCUCCCUGUUCCUAGUCACUUGAGAUGAUAACCAGAAUUACAGAAGAAAAUUACUGAAUCGUGUAGGAGGAGUAAAGACACCAUGUGUAUUUGAUCUCUGCUUUUGGACACGAAGGGAUUGGAUUAUGAACUUCAGCAGUUCCUCCUUGGGCCCCAUUGCACACAUGCCUUACUUUGUACACUGAUACCAACCACUGUCAAUAUGACAAUAUGGUUUUCAGUUCUUUCAAUAGUUUGUAGGCUUGUAGCUCGACUGGAAAUAUGGCCUGUAGCUCACUAGUUAUUUGAUCAACCAUUAGAUGAUAACCAAAUUGCUGCUGUGAAGUAAUAGAAGGAAUGCUUCACCUUUAAUCUGUAAA
RNA transcript from Lolium perenne, 2578 nucleotides. RefSeq lists it as uncharacterized. The record is from RefSeq and is a predicted model, not a curated record. NCBI's taxonomy places the organism in Eukaryota, Viridiplantae, Streptophyta, Magnoliopsida, Poales, Poaceae.